RNAcentral lists this ribosomal RNA (549 nucleotides) under uncultured Glomus. RNAcentral's name for it is "SSU rRNA". It matches the Rfam family "Eukaryotic small subunit ribosomal RNA", at positions 548 to 1098 of the family's 1831-position model. Lineage: Eukaryota; Fungi; Glomeromycota; Glomeromycetes; Glomerales; Glomeraceae. The record is from RNAcentral.
UUGGAGGGCAAGUCUGGUGCCAGCAGCCGCGGUAAUUCCAGCUCCAAUAGCGUAUAUUAAAGUUGUUGCAGUUAAAAAGCUCGUAGUUGAACUUCGGGAUCAAUUGAUUGGUCAUGCCGUUGGUAUGUACUGGUCAUAUUGGUUCUCACCUUCUAAGGAACCAUAAUGUCAUUAAUUUGAUGUUUUGGGGAAUUAGGACUGUUACCUUGAAAAAAUUAGAGUGUUUAAAGCAGGCUAACGCUUGAAUACAUUAGCAUGGAAUAAUGAAAUAGGACAUCGCAUUCUAUUUUGUUGGUUUCUAGGAUCGAUGUAAUGAUUAAUAGGGAUAGUUGGGGGCAUUAGUAUUCAAUUGUCAGAGGUGAAAUUCUUGGAUUUAUUGAAGACUAACUACUGCGAAAGCAUUUGCCAAGGAUGUUUUCAUUAAUCAAGAACGAAAGUUAGGGGAUCGAAGACGAUCAGAUACCGUCGUAGUCUUAACCAUAAACUAUGCCGACUAGGGAUCGGAUGAUGUUAAUUUUUUAAUGACCCAUUCGGCGCCUUACGGGAAAC